RNAcentral lists this long non-coding RNA (1195 nucleotides) under Vigna radiata. RNAcentral's name for it is "long non-coding RNA (VRAD_LNC000113)". Lineage: Eukaryota; Viridiplantae; Streptophyta; Magnoliopsida; Fabales; Fabaceae. The record is from RNAcentral.
CUAUUAUUUUAACAGACUUAAAAUACUAUCUUUUAUUUACAAAAUUAUCACCGCACAUUUUUUAAGUUUGAGUUAUCUUUAACAUAUUUUAAAACCUAAUUUUAACUAGUGAUAUAUAUAUAUAUAUAUAUAUAUAUGGGGUUUGUUAACACGCGUACGCCUAUUUUUCAGUUGGUACGUUUUAACAAUGUGUACCGGAUUAUAGUAGACAAAAAUACCCUCAUUUAUUAAGGAUUCUAAGUUUUAAGGUCAAGGAUAUUUAAAUAAUUUUCAUUCUCAAAACUAAAAAAAAAAAAAACCCAAACCCUUACUCACUUCCAUCAUUCCUCUCAAUCCUUUCUCUUUCAUCUCUCUCAAUCCUUUCUCUUUCAUCUCUCUCACUCCAACACAUUUUCUCUGUCAUCCUUAUUGCCCCCAAUUGAAAAAAAAUAAAAUCAGAAACCCUUGCCUAACCCUUGUCCUUUUCCCUUUACACAAAGUGUUUCUUUUUCCUUUCUCUAUUAGUAUGGAAUACAUGAUAUAAGAUUACAACCUAGAAUUGAAAGAAUUGUACUCCUAGGGAACUCUUCUAUACCUAUUUCUUUAAUUUCCUUAUGUCCCUUUUUUUAUCACUGAAUCAACUUCUACAGGUGUUUAGAAUAAACUUUAACCACGGUUUACCUUUGAGAUUUGGAAAGAGUAACGUAAAAUGACAAAGUUUAUAUUCAUUUUACACACAUUAAUAAAUAUAAAAUGAUUAUAAAAGAGUAAACUUUUUCAAUUUUUUAAAAAUAUCUCUAAUUCAAAUGACCAUCACCAUCUUCAAUUGAGUUGAGACGAAAAAAAAAAUGUUGGAGUGAUGACAGAGAAAAUGUUGAGAUGAGAGAGAAAAUAUCUCUCAUGACAAAGGGUUUCUGAUUUUUUUUUCAAUUGGGCAACAGUAGGGAUGACAGAGAAAAUGUUGGAGUGAGAGAGAUGAAAAAGAAAAUGUUGGAGUGGGAGAGAUGAAAGAGAAAGGAUUGAGAGGAAUGAGGAAGGUGAGUAAGGGUUUGGGGGUUUCUUUUUUUUUAGUUUUGAGAAUGAAAAUUAUUUAAAUAUCCUUGACCUUAAAACUUAGAAUCCAUGAUAAAUGAGGGUAUUUUUGUCUACUAUAAUCUGGUACACAUUGUUAAAACGUACCAACUGAAAAACAAGCGUACGCGUGUUAACAAACCCC